Rhea pennata is the source of this 1013-nucleotide long non-coding RNA. RefSeq lists it as uncharacterized. NCBI's taxonomy places the organism in Eukaryota, Metazoa, Chordata, Aves, Rheiformes, Rheidae. The record is from RefSeq and is a predicted model, not a curated record. The transcript is spliced from 4 exons.
CUAGGGCGGCUUGUUUGUAUCACUGCGGAGACACAACGGCACCCGCACAAGGCUCCGUUGUCCAGAGGAUCCUCUAAUUGUCUUUACUCGAGAUCGCUUAGCUUCAAGGUUGGUUGCCUUGUUGACCCUCAGUGAUUGCUACUUCCUUGAAGACAUGAAGGGCAUACAAAGAACCUGCAGUGUCACUGAACCACAAUUAACACUAUAUUCCUCAUAACUGACAACAAGAACAUUUGAAGCUGCCUGGAACUGGUCCUGUUCCCAAAGGUUUUGAGGGGUUCUAAGGGCUCCAGAUUGGAGAUACUCCUCAGAGCUUGUUAGGAUGGGACCUGUCAGUGGGGAAAUUCAGGUAACACUGUAACACAAAAAGGAUGGACAAAGCCUUAUCAUUUCAUUGGAAUGUUGCAUCUUCACCUCCUUCUGCAACAAAGAACAAGCUGAGGAAUAUUGGCUGGAAUUUUCACCUGUUUUUCAACAGCACACGUAAACUGCUUUGCUCUGUGGUUCUCUCCUCAUACAUACCCUCAGCUGUCCAUUUCUACCCCACCUCCACUCCCCUUUGGGGCUACACUGUCAAAAGCCUAUUCCCAGCCUGUAUCGCUUUUUAUUGAAUGUUUGUGAGGUUUGGAUUAAGGUCUUACACUGCUAGCAAAGCUGUAAUUAUUUUUGCCUGUAUUACUAUAUAUUGAAUCGAUGUAACUUUUCAAUAAAGGUGGUUCAAUGCAGGACACUCCCUGAUGAGUUGGGAAUAUAGAAACCACAGUCAUUAUCCCAGAGGGUUUUUUUUCUUGGAGGAAAAUGGAAAAAGAAUUAGAGAUGAGCCUUAUUGUAUUAACCUUGACAGCUUGCAAUUAUCAACUGAAACACUUGAUUAAAAUUGUCACAAGGUUGGAGAAUUUUUUUAUAAAUAAAUAAUCAAACAUGGAUAGUACCCAGAUGCUAUGGUGAUAGGCACCUUUAAUGGGUGUAAUUAAUAAUGAUCAUAAGCCUGGUGUAUAGCAGAGGUGCCUGAA